CAGCAGCCGCGGUAAUACGAAGGGUGCAAGCGUUACUCGGAAUUACUGGGCGUAAAGCGUGCGUAGGUGGUGGUUUAAGUCCGUUGUGAAAGCCCUGGGCUCAACCUGGGAAUUGCAGUGGAUACUGGGUCACUAGAGUGUGGUAGAGGAUAGUGGAAUUUCCGGUGUAGCAGUGAAAUGCGUAGAGAUCGGAAGGAACAUCUGUGGCGAAGGCGACUAUCUGGGCCAACACUGACACUGAGGCACGAAAGCGUGGGGAGCAAACAGGAUUAGAUACACUCGUAGUCCCUGUCUCUUAUAC
RNAcentral lists this ribosomal RNA (301 nucleotides) under uncultured bacterium. Its description in RNAcentral is "partial 16S ribosomal RNA". It matches the Rfam family "Bacterial small subunit ribosomal RNA", at positions 509 to 807 of the family's 1533-position model. The record is from RNAcentral.